UUGCAUCUGGCAAGCAAUGCAGCACGAGCCUUCCCCACAUUCUCCGGCUUGCCAGCCCAGGCCUUGAGGGUACUCUGCUGAAGAGCACGUCCAAAGGAAAAGGAUAGAGACCAUGGCUUCUUGGUGUUUAGUUUGUUCAUGGCAUUGAGGUUGAGGGUGGCCUCCUCCUCACUCUGGCCACCAGACAAGAAUACAAUAGCAGGAACUGCAGGGGGCACAGUACGUUGAAGUGCACGGACUGUGUACUCGGCAAUAACCUCAUGUGCAACCUUGGGAGCUUCUGAUCCAGGAGUAACCAUGUUC
Molecule: long non-coding RNA, 303 nt
Filed under: Populus trichocarpa (black cottonwood)
Lineage: Eukaryota; Viridiplantae; Streptophyta; Magnoliopsida; Malpighiales; Salicaceae
Description: long non-coding RNA (PTRI_LNC004039)
Source: RNAcentral